CGAAUGCUGUGAAGAAGGCCUGCGGGUUGUAAAGCACUUUCAGUGGGGAAGAAAGCCUCGGGGCGAAUACCCUCGGGGGUUGACGUUACCCACAGAAUGAACAGCACCGGCUAACUCCGUGCCAGCAGGUCCGCGGUAAUACGGAGGGUGCAAGCGUUAAUCGGAAUCACUGGGCGUAAAGCGCACGUAGGCGGAUACGUAACUCUGAUCUGAAAGCCCGGGGGUAAACCCCCGAGCGGGA
RNAcentral lists this ribosomal RNA (241 nucleotides) under uncultured bacterium. RNAcentral's name for it is "partial 16S ribosomal RNA". It matches the Rfam family "Bacterial small subunit ribosomal RNA", at positions 398 to 625 of the family's 1533-position model. The record is from RNAcentral.